GUACCAACGGAUACAACAGGAUCACAACCACAACCUACAUUUACCAAUCAACAAUCAAGGCAUGAUAUGCAAUCCCAUACAGCUAACAAUCCUUAGAAUGAUGCAUGCCUCUAAGCACUCCUUAGGCGCUGGAUGAUGCAAUGCACAAUACAACAAACAUCCUAUUUAAAAGUGCUCCCCACACGGAAGCUUUUGUUUUUAAACUCUAAUUCAUUCAUUCAUAAAAACCAUUCGAAAACUUUUUUUUUUUAAACUGUUUCCCACACGGAAACUUUAUUUUGAAAACCGACUACCUCGAGGGGUAGAAAACCACGAUGCAUAACUACAAGAAAACCAAAUCUCCACGGAACCAAAACCACAGAUCGAAAACUCCAAUCUCGUAUAAUAUAAGACAUCCAUAAUUUCAUGCAUACGAGGAAAACCAACUCGUUCAAACAAUUAUAAGAUCAUCUAAUCAUGCAUAAUGGAAAUCACAACAUUCAAAC
This 485-nucleotide long non-coding RNA is filed under the name Ananas comosus (pineapple). RNAcentral describes it as "long non-coding RNA (ACOM_LNC040428)". The record is from RNAcentral. Lineage: Eukaryota; Viridiplantae; Streptophyta; Magnoliopsida; Poales; Bromeliaceae.